Molecule: long non-coding RNA, 670 nt
Organism: Camellia sinensis
Lineage: Eukaryota; Viridiplantae; Streptophyta; Magnoliopsida; Ericales; Theaceae
Source: RefSeq, a predicted model, not a curated record
AGAAGCUCCUAAAUUCUCACUCCAUGGGCUGGUAAAGGGCUUCCUAUUUUCCCUCGUCUCUUGUCCGCUGGCUUCAAUUGGAGAGUGAUUGAAGGCUAUCCAAACUCGUCUCUCCCGCGAAACUGCUCCUUCUCCAAACACGUCUCUCCCGCGAAAUCGAUCUGCUCCUUCAGCGCGAAAUCGAUUUUCUCCUUCGACGUUGUCUGCAACUCCCUCCAUCUGACCUCUUUCUCAAGGAUCUAGAUCUGCAGCAAACAUAAGAUGAACAUACAUGUGGCGUUCAUGAAGCUGUUUGCUAUUUUGAUGUUAAUAACCUUUUCUCCUCAGUGACACUCCAGUUUGGCUCACUGAUUUUCUCAGUUUUGGGGUUAGGGGGUACUUCUGUAGUGUUAUGCGGGAUGCAUGAGCCAUGAAUGUAAUCUCUUGGGACAAACUAAGAUGGGUGUGGGAAUGUAUGUAUAAGCACCCUCUUUAUUUUUAUUUUUUUCCUUUUGCAGGUAUUAUUGUGUUUUGAGGAGGGUGUCCCUCUUGAAACCUAUAUUAUUAAAAAUGUUCCUAGUAGGCCUUUGGAGUUGAAAGCUUCAAUCCGUUUCUCUUAGAUAUUUUUAUUUUGUUCCAGAUUUUUUGAAUUUAUUUCCCUUGAUUGGAACACAGGCUUGAUUUGUCAUAA